RNAcentral lists this ribosomal RNA (301 nucleotides) under uncultured bacterium. RNAcentral describes it as "partial 16S ribosomal RNA". It matches the Rfam family "Bacterial small subunit ribosomal RNA", at positions 509 to 807 of the family's 1533-position model. The record is from RNAcentral.
CAGUAGCCACGGUAAUACGGAGGGCGCGAGCGUUACCCGGAUUUACUGGGCGUAAAGGGCGUGUAGGCGGCCUGGGGCGUCCCAUGUGAAAGGCCACGGCUCAACCGUGGAGGAGCGUGGGAUACGCUCAGGCUAGAGGGUGGGAGAGGGUGGUGGAAUUCCCGGAGUAGCGGUGAAAUGCGCAGAUACCGGGAGGAACGCCGAUGGCGAAGGCAGCCACCUGGUCCACUUCUGACGCUGAGGCGCGAAAGCGUGGGGAGCAAACCGGAUUAGAUACCCGUGUAGUCCCUGUCUCUUAUAC